RNAcentral lists this ribosomal RNA (468 nucleotides) under uncultured bacterium. RNAcentral's name for it is "partial 16S ribosomal RNA". It matches the Rfam family "Bacterial small subunit ribosomal RNA", at positions 28 to 507 of the family's 1533-position model. The record is from RNAcentral.
GACGAACGCUGGCGGCGUGCUUAACACAUGCAAGUCGAACGGAAACGCCCUGCUUUUUUGGGGUGCUCGAGUGGCGAACGGGUGAUUAACCCGUAAGUAACCUGCCCUUGACUUUGGGAUAACUUCAGGAAACUUGGUCUCAUACCGGAUAGGAGCUCCUGCUGCAGGGUGGGGGUUGGAAAGUUUCGGCGGUUGGGGCUGGACUCGCGUCUUAUCAGCUUGUUGGUGGGGUAGUGGCUUACCAAGGCUUUGACGGGUAGCCGACCUGUGAGGGUGGCCGGCGCCAUUAGGCCUGAGCUACGGCGCAGUCUGGAAUGGUAGGCAAUGGUGGAGAGUAUGAUACAGUGCGCGGGAGCGUAGUGUGGCGGCGCCGCGUGCGGGAAGUGGGCUUUCGCGUAGUGAACCGCUUCUGCCUGAGACGGAGCGUGAGUGACGGUACCGGGAGAAGAAGCACCGGCUAACUACGUG